This 465-nucleotide ribosomal RNA is filed under the name uncultured bacterium. Its description in RNAcentral is "partial 16S ribosomal RNA". It matches the Rfam family "Bacterial small subunit ribosomal RNA", at positions 28 to 507 of the family's 1533-position model. The record is from RNAcentral.
GGCGAACGCUGGCGGCACGCUUAACACAUGCAAGUCGAACGAGAGAAGAGAAGCUUGCUUUUCUGAUCUAGUGGCGGACGGGUGAGUAACACGUGAGCAAUCUGCCUUUCAGAGGGGGAUACCGAUUGGAAACGAUCGUUAAUACCGCAUAACAUAAUUGAACCGCAUGAUUUGAUUAUCAAAGAUUUAUCGCUGAAAGAUGAGCUCGCGUCUGAUUAGCUAGUUGGUAAGGUAACGGCUUACCAAGGCGACGAUCAGUAGCCGGACUGAGAGGUUGAUCGGCCACAUUGGGACUGAGACACUGCCCAGACUCCUACGGGAGGCAGCAGUGGGGAAUAUUGCACAAUGGAGGAAACUCUGAUGCAGCGAUGCCGCGUGAGGGAAGAAGGUUUUAGGAUUGUAAACCUCUGUCUUCAGGGACGAAAAAAGACGGUACCUGAGGAGGAAGCUCCGGCUAACUACGUG